UUUUCUAGGGCUUAAAGGUCUGGCAAUUUUGUUUGAAGGCGAAGCAUUUGGUUUGAUUUCUCUCCAGUUCAUUUGAUGAUUAGAACAGAGAUUCAAGCUAGUGAGUCGUGACCUGUUAUUAUUCCUGAUGAGGUUCUCAAACAACCAUUUCUUCGUAUGAAGGUGCUUACUUUCCCUUUUACAUUGGUUUUGUGUGGCCUUAUGAUGUUUUAGAGGCAAAUUGUCAAAUAGGUUGAGUGCAAGAUGCUCGAACUCGACAAGCUGUCACUUGAUAUGGUGUCUUAUAUAAGCAGAACGGUAUGCAGUUGAUUGUAGAACAGGAAAUUGUGUUGUGGGCUCUCUCUCAUGGCCUAAACCCUAGAUAACACAUCUUUGUCAAUACGACAAGGACACUAACUUCAGCUAGUUCAAUUUACCAGAGGACUUAAAUCACAGGACACAAAGAAAGUCAGCAAAUGUGUAGGCAAGAGUUGGAUGAAUUCCACCCAGAAGGAAAUGAAAGAGAUGAAACAAGAGAUUUAGAUAUUAAAGGCUCAAGUUGGUGAACUGCAUCAAUGUAGGAUGGAACUUCUAAGGCAAAUGUAAAAGACCGUGUCGUCUAGUUAUGAAACUUUCAUCAAUUUUAGCAAAUGAUUUUUUUAUUGGGAUAUGCUUUUAUUAGUAUCUAUACCUCUUAAUAAUGUGUAAUUACCAGGAAUUCUUGAGAUAUAAUUUUUUUUUUUUUUUUAAAUUU
Lycium ferocissimum is the source of this 733-nucleotide long non-coding RNA. RefSeq lists it as uncharacterized. The record is from RefSeq and is a predicted model, not a curated record. Lineage: Eukaryota; Viridiplantae; Streptophyta; Magnoliopsida; Solanales; Solanaceae. The transcript has 4 exons.